RNAcentral lists this ribosomal RNA (484 nucleotides) under uncultured bacterium. Its description in RNAcentral is "partial 16S ribosomal RNA". It matches the Rfam family "Bacterial small subunit ribosomal RNA", at positions 30 to 507 of the family's 1533-position model. The record is from RNAcentral.
AUUGAACGCUGGCGGCAGGCCUAACACAUGCAAGUCGAGCGGAUGAAGGGAGCUUGCUCCUGGAUUCAGCGGCGGACGGGUGAGUAAUGCCUAGGAAUCUGCCUGGUAGUGGGGGAUAACGUCCGGAAACGGGCGCUAAUACCGCAUACGUCCUGAGGGAGAAAGUGGGGGAUCUUCGGACCUCACGCUAUCAGAUGAGCCUAGGUCGGAUUAGCUAGUUGGUGGGGUAAAGGCCUACCAAGGCGACGAUCCGUAACUGGUCUGAGAGGCUGAUCAGUCACACUGGAACUUAGACACGGUCCAGACUCCUACGGGAGGCAGCAGUGGGGAAUGUUGGACAAUAGGCGAAAGCCUGAUCCAGCCAUGCCGCGUGUGUGAAGGAGGUCUUCGGAUUGUAAAGCACUUUAAGUUGGGAGGAAGGGCAGUAAGUUAAUACCUUGCUGUUUUGACGUUACCAACAGAAUAAGCACCGGCUAACUUCGUG